UACUCCUACGGGAGGCAGCAGUGGGGAAUCUUGCGCAAUGGGCGAAAGCCUGACGCAGCAACGCCGCGUGGGGGAUGAAGGCUCUCGGGUUGUAAACCCCUUUCAGCAGGGACGAAUCAAGACGGUACCUGCAGAAGAAGCCCCGGCUAACUACGUGCCAGCAGCCGCGGUAACACGUAGGGGGCAAGCGUUGUCCGGAUUUAUUGGGCGUAAAGAGCUCGUAGGUGGCUGAGUAAGUCGGAUGUUAAAUCCCCAGGCUCAACCUGGGACACCACCCGAUACUGCUCUGGCUAGAGUCCGGUAGGGGAGCGUGGAAUUCCUGGUGUAGCGGUGAAAUGCGCAGAUAUCAGGAGGAACACCAGCGGCGAAGGCGGCGCUCUGGGCCGGUACUGACACUGAGGAGCGAAAGCGUGGGUAGCAAACAGGAUUAGAUACCCUGGUAGUCCACGCCGUAAACGUUGGGCACUAGGUGUGGGGUCUAUUCAACGGACUCCGUGCCGUAGCUAACGCAUUAAGUGCCCCGCCUGGGGAGUACGGCCGCAAGGCUAAAACUCAAAGGAAUUGACGGGGGCCCGCACAAGCGGUGGAGCAUGUGGA
This 597-nucleotide ribosomal RNA is filed under the name uncultured bacterium. RNAcentral describes it as "bacterial SSU rRNA". It matches the Rfam family "Bacterial small subunit ribosomal RNA", at positions 334 to 945 of the family's 1533-position model. The record is from RNAcentral.